AACGAACGCUGGCGGCAUGCCUAACACAUGCAAGUCGAACGAAGCCUUCGGGUUUAGUGGCGCACGGGUGCGUAACGCGUGGGAAUCUGCCCUGAGGUACGGAAUAACUCAGGGAAACUUGUGCUAAUACCGUAUGAUGUCGAAAGACCAAAGAUUUAUCGCCUAGGGAUGAGCCCGCGUUGGAUUAGCUAGUUGGUGAGGUAAAGGCUCACCAAGGCGACGAUCCAUAGCUGGUCUGAGAGGAUGAUCAGCCACACUGGGACUGAGACACGGCCCAGACUCCUACGGGAGGCAGCAGUGGGGAAUAUUGGACAAUGGGCGAAAGCCUGAUCCAGCAAUGCCGCGUGAGUGAAGAAGGCCUUCGGGUUGUAAAGCUCUUUUACCCGGGAAGAUAAUGACUGUACCGGGAGAAUAAGCCCCGGCUAACUCCGUGCCAGCCGCCGCAGUAA
This 449-nucleotide ribosomal RNA is filed under the name uncultured bacterium. RNAcentral's name for it is "partial 16S ribosomal RNA". It matches the Rfam family "Bacterial small subunit ribosomal RNA", at positions 29 to 523 of the family's 1533-position model. The record is from RNAcentral.